This 484-nucleotide ribosomal RNA is filed under the name uncultured bacterium. Its description in RNAcentral is "partial 16S ribosomal RNA". It matches the Rfam family "Bacterial small subunit ribosomal RNA", at positions 29 to 507 of the family's 1533-position model. The record is from RNAcentral.
AGUGAACGCUGGCGGCAGGCCUAACACAUGCAAGUCGAGCGGCAGCGCGGGGGCAACCCUGGCGGCGAGCGGCGGACGGGUGAGGAAUUCGUCGGAAUCUGCCUUUUUGUGGGGGAUAACGUAGGGAAACUUACGCUAAUACCGCAUACGUCCUACGGGAGAAAGUUGGGGACCGCAAGGCCUCACGCAGAAAGAUGAGCCGACGACCGAUUAGCUAGUUUGUGGGGUAAAGGCCCACCAAGGCGACGAUCGGUAGCUGGUCUGAGAGGAUGAUCAGCCACCCUGGGACUGAGACACGGACCAGACUCCUACGGGAGGCAGCAGUGGGGAAUAUUGGACAAUGGGCGCAAGCCUGAUCCAGCCAUGCCGCGUGUGUGAAGAAGGCCUUCGGGUUGUAAAGAACUUUUGUCCGGAAAGAAAUCCCUGGAGCUAAUACCUUCGGGGGAUGACGGUACCGGAAGAAUAAGCACCGGCUAACUUCGUG